Molecule: ribosomal RNA, 470 nt
Filed under: uncultured bacterium
Lineage: Bacteria
Description: SSU rRNA
Rfam family: Bacterial small subunit ribosomal RNA
Source: RNAcentral
AGGACGAACGCUGGCGGCGUGCUUAACGACAUGCAAGUCGAACGGAAAGGCCCUUCGGGGUACUCGAGUGGCGAACGGGUGAGUAACACGUGAGCAAUCUGCCCCUAGCUCUGGGAUAGCUCCGGGAAACCGGGAUUAAUACCAGAUAUUACUACGGCCGACAUCAGCUGUGGUGGAAAGAAUUUCGGCUAGGGAUGAGCUCGCGGCCUAUCAGCUUGUUGGUGGGGUAAAGGCCCACCAAGGCGACGACGGGUAGCCGGCCUGAGAGGGCGACCGGCCACACUGGGACUGAGACACGGCCCAGACUCCUACGGGAGGCAGCAGUGGGGAAUAUUGGACAAUGGGCGCAAGCCUGAUCCAGCCAUGCCGCGUGAGUGAUGACGGCCUUAGGGUUGUAAAGCUCUUUCGCUAGGGACGAUAAUGACGGUACCUAGACAAGAAGCCCCGGCUAACUUCGCGCCAGCAGCCGC